Molecule: ribosomal RNA, 230 nt
Filed under: uncultured bacterium
Lineage: Bacteria
Description: partial 16S ribosomal RNA
Rfam family: Bacterial small subunit ribosomal RNA
Source: RNAcentral
UAAAGCGUGCGCAGGCGGUAUGUAAGACAGAUGUGAAAUCCCCGGGCUCAACCUGGGAACUGCAUUAGUGACUGCAUAGCUGGAGUACGGCAGAGGGGGAUGGAAUUCCGCGUGUAGCAGUGAAAUGCGUAGAUAUGCGGAGGAACACCGAUGGCGAAGGCAAUCCCCUGGGCCUGUACUGACGCUCAUGCACGAAAGCGUGGGGAGCAAACAGGAUUAGAUACCCUAGU